Molecule: ribosomal RNA, 1672 nt
Filed under: Oreochromis niloticus (Nile tilapia)
Lineage: Eukaryota; Metazoa; Chordata; Actinopteri; Cichliformes; Cichlidae
Description: SSU rRNA
Rfam family: Eukaryotic small subunit ribosomal RNA
Source: RNAcentral
CCUGGUUGAUCCUGCCAGUAGCAUAUGCUUGUCUCAAAGAUUAAGCCAUGCAGGUCUAGUACACGCGGCCGGUACAGUGAAACUGCGAAUGGCUCAUUAAAUCAGUUAUGGUUCCUUUGAUCGCUCAUCGUUACUUGGAUAACUGUGGCAAUUCUAGAGCUAAUACAUGCAAACGAGCGCUGACCCUCCGGGUAUGCGUGCAUUUAUCAGACCAAAACCCAUGCGGGGCGUCCUCUCGGGGGCGCCCGGCCGCUUUGGUGACUCUAGAUAACCUCGAGCCGAUCGCUGGCCCUCCGUGGCGGCGACGUCUCAUUCGAAUGUCUGCCCUAUCAACUUUCGAUGGUACUUUAUGUGCUACCAUGGUGACCACGGGUAACGGGGAAUCAGGGUUCGAUUCCGGAGAGGGAGCCUGAGAAACGGCUACCACAUCCAAGGAAGGCAGCAGGCGCAAAUUACCCACUCGAUCGGGAGGUAGUGACGAAAAAUACAAUACAGGAUCUUUCGAGCUGUAAUUGGAAUGAUAACUUAAAUCUUAACGAGAUAUUGGAGGGCAGUUGGUGGAGCCGCGGUAAUCAGCUCAUAGCGUAUUUAAAGUGCUGCAGUUAAAAGUCGUAGUUGGAUCUCGGAUGGCUGACGGUCCGGCGAGGCAGUACCGUCUGUCCAGCCCUGCUCUCGGCGCCUCGAUGCUCUUAGCUGAGUGUCCGCGGGUCGAAGGUUUACUUUGAAAAAUUAGAGUGUUCAAGCAGGCCGGUCGCUGAAUACGCAGCUAGGAUAAUGAAUGGACUCCGGUUCUAUUUUGUGUUUUCUCUCUGAACUGGGGCCAUGAUUAAGAGGGACGGCCGGGGGCAUUCGUAUUGUGCCGCUAGAGGUGAAAUUCUUGGACCGGCGCAAGACGGACGAAAGCGAAAGCAUUGAAAAUGUUUCAUUAAUCAAGAACGAAAGUGGAGGUUGAAGACGAUAAUACGUCGUAGUUCGACAUAACGAUGCCAACUAGCGAUCCGGCGGCGUUAUUCCCAUGACCCGCCGGGCAGCGUCCGGGAAACCAAAGUUUUUGGGUUCGGGGGGGUAUGGUUCAAGCUGAAACUUAAGGAAUUGAGGAAGGGCACCCAGGAGUGGAGCCUGCGGCUUAAUUUGACUCAACACGGAAACCUCACCCGGCCCGGACACGGAAAGGAUGAGAUUGAUAGUCUUUUCGAUCGUGGGUGGUGGUGCAUGGGUUCUUAGUUGGUGGAGCGAUUUGUCUGGUAAUUCGAUAGAACGAGAUCGACAUGCUAAUGUUUAUCGACCGGUGCGGUCGAGUCCACUUCUUAGAGGACAGUGGGUUCAGCCAACGAGAUUGAGCAAUAAGGUUGUGAUGCUUAGAUGUCGGGGCUGCACGCGCACUGAGUGGAUCAGCGUGUGUUACUUCGCGAGAGGCGUGGGUAACGUUGAACCCACUCGUGAUAGGGAUUGGGGAUUGCAUAUUUCCCUGAACGAGGAUUCCCAGUAAGCGGGGUCAUAAGCUCGCGUUGAUUAAGUCCUGCUUGUACACACGCCGUGCUACUCGAUUGGAUGGUUUAGUGAGGUCUCGGAUGGCCGCGGGUCGGUCACGGCUGGCGGACGCGAGAAGAGAUCAAACUUGACUAUCUAGAGGAGUAAGUCGUACAAGGUUUCGGUAGGUGAACUGCGGAAG